This 446-nucleotide ribosomal RNA is filed under the name uncultured bacterium. RNAcentral describes it as "partial 16S ribosomal RNA". It matches the Rfam family "Bacterial small subunit ribosomal RNA", at positions 329 to 792 of the family's 1533-position model. The record is from RNAcentral.
UGCCAGACUCCUACGGGAGGCAGCAGUGGGGAAUAUUGCUCAAUGGGGGAAACCCUGAAGCAGCAACGCCGCGUGGAGGAUGAAGGUUUUCGGAUUGUAAACUCCUUUUGUUAGAGAAGAUAAUGACGGUAUCUAACGAAUAAGCACCGGCUAACUCCGUGCCAGCAGCCGCGGUAAUACGGGGGGUGCAAGCGUUGUCCGGAAUCAUUGGGCAUAAAGCGUUCGUAGGCGGUAUGUCAAGUCUGAUGUUAAAGCCCGGGGCUCAACUCCGGUUCGGCAUUGGAUACUGGCAAACUAGAAUGUGGUAGAGGUAAAGGGAAUUCCUGGUGUAGCGGUGAAAUGCGUAGAUAUCAGGAGGAACAUCGGUGGCGAAAGCGCUUUACUGGACCAUUAUUGACGCUGAGGAACGAAAGCCAGGGGAGCAAAUGGGAUUAGAUACCCCAGUA